This 460-nucleotide ribosomal RNA is filed under the name uncultured bacterium. RNAcentral's name for it is "partial 16S ribosomal RNA". It matches the Rfam family "Bacterial small subunit ribosomal RNA", at positions 338 to 795 of the family's 1533-position model. The record is from RNAcentral.
CCUACGGGCGGCAGCAGUGAGGAAUAUUGGUCAAUGGGCGCGAGCCUGAACCAGCCAAGUAGCGUGAAGGAUGACUGCCCUACGGGUUGUAAACUUCUUUUAUAAAGGAAUAAAGUGAGGCACGUGUGCCUUUUUGUAUGUACUUUAUGAAUAAGGAUCGGCUAACUCCGUGCCAGCAGCCGCGGUAAUACGGAGGAUCCGAGCGUUAUCCGGAUUUAUUGGGUUUAAAGGGAGCGUAGAUGGGUUGUUAAGUCAGUUGUGAAAGUUUGCGGCUCAACUGUGAAACUGCAAUUGAUACUGGCAGGCUUGAGUACAGGAGAGGUAGGCGGAAUUCGUGGUGUAGCGGUGAAAUGCGUAGAUAUUAGGAAGAACACCGAUUGCGAAGGCAGCUUACUGGACAGUAACUGACGUUGAGGCUCGAAAGCGUGGGGAGCAAACAGGAUUAGAUACCCUUGUAGUC